GGGCCCUUAGCUCAGCGGUUAGAGCAGUGGACUCAUAAUCCAUUGGUCGCUGGUUCGAAUCCAGCAGGGCCCA
This 73-nucleotide transfer RNA is filed under the name Phycisphaerae bacterium. RNAcentral describes it as "tRNA-Met". It matches the Rfam family "tRNA". From Rfam's summary of the family: Transfer RNA (tRNA) molecules are approximately 80 nucleotides in length. Their secondary structure includes four short double-helical elements and three loops (D, anti-codon, and T loops). Lineage: Bacteria; Pseudomonadati; Planctomycetota; Phycisphaerae. The record is from RNAcentral. RNAcentral also lists the same sequence under 2 other names.